Molecule: long non-coding RNA, 792 nt
Filed under: Capsicum annuum
Lineage: Eukaryota; Viridiplantae; Streptophyta; Magnoliopsida; Solanales; Solanaceae
Description: long non-coding RNA (CANN_LNC021326)
Source: RNAcentral
GGAAUUCUAUUAAUUGUGGACUGGUGUUGUCUAUCUUUAACAACUUUGUGACUUUUAUUGUUCUUAGAUUAUCGAUUAUUAAUUCCGCGUAUGUAUAAUUUGUUGUUGUCCUUUUUUUCUUUCCCUUUUUGUCUUUUCUUUGAUCUCUUCUUUUCCUAAUUUCCUUUUAAUUGUAUUCUUUAUUUUUGUAUUUCAGCUAUUCGCCCAAUGAAUCCUCAUUUGUUAGUUUACUUAUCUAAAUAGUCACUACGUUUUUAUUUUUCAGGAUCUCUGAAUAUUUAAUUGAGCACUCUAAUUCGAUGUCAAUCACUGGUAAUGAGUAUUAAGGACGGUAGCAACCCGCAACUUUCAAAUUCUUGAUCGCCUCCGCUCUGCCUUUCCAGACCCCACUUGUGCGAUUACACUUGGUAUGUUGUUGUGGGCUGAAAGUGUGAGUGGAUGGAAUUUUAACAGUAUCUUAUACUUUGAGUAAUGUUUUAGCUAACUAACUUUAAUAACUCAUAUACUUUUCUUUACUUCAAUGGCUGUUUUACAAUAGGAAUUUUGUGAUGUAGUACUAUUUCUUUUGUGAAGUGGUGAUACAAUUUUCUGAAAUCGUCCAGGCCCUUGAAGGAAAUUGAUCCUUUUCUUUGACAUCUGAAUUAAAUCAACUAAAUGUAUGGUUUAAUAUAUCUUUUUGCCUUAUUAAUUUUCAGAAAAGAUGUCCACAGAGAAGAAAGUUACAGUAAUGGAUCGAAUCUCUCAGUCAGUGGCGGAGCCGCAGCCCCACGAAGGGUUGACCACACUUUGUAG